AUGCAGGUGAUCGCGGGUAUUGGCAUAUGCUGGUACACGAGGAAAGUCCGGGCUUCAUAGGGCAGGAUGCCGGAUAACGUCCGGUGGAGGCGACUCCAAGGCUAGUGCAACAGAAAUGUACCGCCGUUCUAUGGCUUGUUUGUGGGUUCGCUCGCAGACAGGUCAGAAGAGAAUCGGUAAGGUUGGAAGGGCAGUGUAAGAGACUACCGCCCUGCCGGUAACGACAGGGGCAGAUGUAAACCCCAUCCGAAGCAAGACAAACGAGAGACGAACGUGGCCCGCCAGUCUCCGGUAUGUCGCUUGAGUCCUCCGGCAACGGAGGACCUAGAUAGAUGAUCACCCAACGACAUAACCCGGCUUAUCGCAUUGCUC
RNAcentral lists this RNase P RNA (372 nucleotides) under uncultured Acetitomaculum sp. RNAcentral's name for it is "Bacterial RNase P class A". It matches the Rfam family "Bacterial RNase P class A". Rfam says of the family: Ribonuclease P (RNase P) is a ubiquitous endoribonuclease, found in archaea, bacteria and eukarya as well as chloroplasts and mitochondria. Its best characterised activity is the generation of mature 5'-ends of tRNAs by cleaving the 5'-leader elements of precursor-tRNAs. The record is from RNAcentral. Lineage: Bacteria; Bacillati; Bacillota; Clostridia; Lachnospirales; Lachnospiraceae.